Molecule: ribosomal RNA, 1022 nt
Filed under: uncultured archaeon
Lineage: Archaea
Description: bacterial SSU rRNA
Rfam family: Archaeal small subunit ribosomal RNA
Source: RNAcentral
UCCGGUUGAUCCUGCCGGACCCGACUGCUAUCGGGGUAAGGCUGAGCCAUGCGAGUCUAGGGCUCCAAGCCAUGGUGGGGCCCGGCGCACGGCUGAGUAACACGUAGCUAACCUACCCUUAGGAAGGGGAUAACCCCGGGAAACUGGGGUUAAACCCCUAUAGGCGAGGACCCCUGAAAUCGGGUCUUCGCUGAAAAGGCUUCUAGACCAUGCUUCUAGAAGCCGCCUGAGGAUGGGGCUGCGGCCCAUCAGGUAGUUGGCGGGGUAACGGCCCACCAAGCCUAUAACGGGUAGGGGCCGUGAGAGCGGGAGCCCCCAGAUGGGCCCUGAGACAAGGGCCCAGGCCCUACGGGGCGCAGCAGGCGCGAAAACUCCGCUAUAUGCGCGAAAGCGCGACGGGGUUACCCUGAGUGCCCCCUGCUGAGGGGGGCUUUUCCCCAGUGUAAACAGCUGGGGGAAUAAGGGGAGGGCAAACCUGGUGUCAGCCGCCGCGGUAAUACCAGCUCCCCGAGUGGUCGGGACGAUUAUUGGGCCUAAAGCGUCCGUAGCCGGCCUGGUAAGUCCCCUGUUAAAUCCGGCGAUCCAAUCGCUGGACUGCAGGGGAUACUGCUAGGCUAGGGGGUGGGAGAGGCCGACGGUAUUCCCGGGGGAGGAGUAAAAUCCUCAGAUCCCGGGAGGACCACCAGUGGCGAAGGCGGUCGGCUGGAACACGCCCGACGGUGAGGGACGAAAGCUGGGGGAGCGAGUCGGAUUAGAGACCCGGGUAGUCCCAGCUGUAAACCAUGCGGGUUAGGUGUCGGAUCGGCUAUGAGCUGAUCCGGUGCCGAAUGGAAGCAACUAAGCCCGCCGCCUGGGGAGUACGGCCGCAAGGCUGAAACUUAAAGGAAUUGGCGGGGGGGCACCACAAGGGGUGGAUGCUGCGGUUUAAUUGGAGUCAACGCCGAGAACCUCACCAGGGGGGACAGCUGGAUGAUGGUCAGAUCGAAGAUCUUACCUGACUAGCUGAGAGGAGGUGCAUGGCC